Molecule: ribosomal RNA, 253 nt
Filed under: uncultured bacterium
Lineage: Bacteria
Description: partial 16S ribosomal RNA
Rfam family: Bacterial small subunit ribosomal RNA
Source: RNAcentral
GACGAACCGUGCGAACGUUAUUCGGAAUCACUGGGCUUAAAGGGCGCGUAGGCGGGUUGCCAAGUCUGUGGUGAAAUCCUCCGGCUUAACCGGAGAACUGCCGUGGAUACUGGCGACCUCGAGGGGGGUAGGGGCUUGCGGAACUGUGCGUGGAGCGGUGAAAUGCGUUGAUAUGCACAGGAACUCCGGUGGCGAAGGCGGCGAGCUGGACCCUUUCUGACGCUGAGACGCGAAAGCGUGGGGAGCAAACAGG